UACAGAGGGUGCAAACGUUGCUCGGAAUUAUUGGGCGUAAAGCGCAUGUAGGCGGCACGGUAAGUCGACUGUGAAAGCCCUUGGCUCAACCAAGGAAGUGCAGUCGAAACUGCCGAGCUCGAGUUCUGAAGAGGGUCGCGGAAUGGCCAGUGUAGAGGUGAAAUUCGUAGAUAUUGGCUAGAACACCAGUGGCGAAGGCGGCGACCUGGGAAGAUACUGACGCUGAGAUGCGAAAGCGUGGGGAGCAAAC
RNAcentral lists this ribosomal RNA (250 nucleotides) under uncultured delta proteobacterium. RNAcentral describes it as "partial 16S ribosomal RNA". It matches the Rfam family "Bacterial small subunit ribosomal RNA", at positions 524 to 773 of the family's 1533-position model. RNAcentral also lists the same sequence under 1 other name. The record is from RNAcentral. Lineage: Bacteria; Deltaproteobacteria.